GGGCCCGCACAAGCGGUGGAGCAUGUGGUUUAAUUCGAUGAUACGCGAGGAACCUUACCAGGGCUUAAAUGCAGAACGACAGAGGUGGAAACACCUCCUUCUUCGGACGGUCUGCAAGGUGCUGCAUGGUUGUCGUCAGCUCGUGCUGUGAAGUGUCGGGUUAAGUCCCAUAACGAGCGCAACCCCUAUUUCUAGUUGCCAGCGGUUCGGCCGGGGACUCUAGAGAAACUGCCAGCGUAAGCUGUGAGGAAGGUGGGGAUGACGUCAAAUCAUCACGGCCCUUACGUCCUGGGCCACACACGUGCUACAAUGGUGAGGACAGAGAGCAGCCACUACGCGAGUAGGAGCGAA
RNAcentral lists this ribosomal RNA (351 nucleotides) under uncultured bacterium. RNAcentral describes it as "bacterial SSU rRNA". It matches the Rfam family "Bacterial small subunit ribosomal RNA", at positions 917 to 1271 of the family's 1533-position model. The record is from RNAcentral.